Non-coding RNA from Aedes aegypti (yellow fever mosquito), 72 nucleotides. Lineage: Eukaryota; Metazoa; Arthropoda; Insecta; Diptera; Culicidae. The record is from Rfam.
GGCUCGGUAGCUUAGUUGGUAAAGCGCUCGUCUAGCAUACAAGAGUCCUGGGUUCAAAUCCCACCCGAGCAC